Molecule: long non-coding RNA, 302 nt
Filed under: Nicotiana benthamiana
Lineage: Eukaryota; Viridiplantae; Streptophyta; Magnoliopsida; Solanales; Solanaceae
Description: long non-coding RNA (NBEN_LNC020899)
Source: RNAcentral
UCUUCCUUCCUCUUAGCUCUUAGAAUAGCUUAUAAACGAGAUCGUAUAAGCCUAGCCCAGUGGUCAUCUGAUACCGGUAGAAGUGGCUAUGGUAAAAGUGCUUUCCAAUCCGUCACGUCGUCCCAUCCUCCUAACGAUAUAUUGCGAGGAGCUUUACGAAGCCAUUCGUGGUGUAUUUAUAUAUAGCUUAUCCUUUCUUACUGUGACCCGGGAAUAAUAACCAUAUCCAAGCCAAGGAGUUAGACCAACCCAGAUAGACCACGUUAUGGCCGAUGGGAUUAGGAAAGAAGCAACGGAUUGAU